This 253-nucleotide ribosomal RNA is filed under the name uncultured bacterium. RNAcentral's name for it is "partial 16S ribosomal RNA". It matches the Rfam family "Bacterial small subunit ribosomal RNA", at positions 524 to 776 of the family's 1533-position model. The record is from RNAcentral.
UACGAAGGGGGCUAGCGUUGCUCGGAAUCACUGGGCGUAAAGCGCACGUAGGCCGAUUGUUAAGUCAGGGGUGAAAUCCUGGAGCUCAACUCCAGAACUGCCUUUGAUACUGAGGAUCUUGAGUACGGGAGAGGUGAGUGGAACUGCGAGUGUAGAGGUGAAAUUCGUAGAUAUUCGCAAGAACACCAGUGGCGAAGGCGGCUCACUGGCCCAUAACUGACGCUGAGGCACGAAAGCGUGGGGAGCAAACAGG